GGUUUCAGUCAUUAUUUUGGUGUUACAGCGGAAAUAAAUGGCUGGAUUAAAAUGGGAAAGAGGUGAAAAACCUCUGCGGUCCCGCCGCCGUAAGGUUUAAAGAUAAUCAAAACUGCCACUGGGAAAACCGGGAAGGCUAAUUAUUAACUAAACUGAGCCGGAAGACCUGCCUUUAUUUGUAAACACCA
Molecule: non-coding RNA, 188 nt
Filed under: Halanaerobium kushneri
Lineage: Bacteria; Bacillati; Bacillota; Clostridia; Halanaerobiales; Halanaerobiaceae
Source: RNAcentral